Molecule: ribosomal RNA, 468 nt
Filed under: uncultured bacterium
Lineage: Bacteria
Description: partial 16S ribosomal RNA
Rfam family: Bacterial small subunit ribosomal RNA
Source: RNAcentral
GACGAACGCUGGCGGCGUGCUUAACACAUGCAAGUCGAACGGAAAGGCCCUGCUUUUGUGGGGUGCUCGAGUGGCGAACGGGUGAGUAACACGUGAGUAACCUGCCCUUGACUUUGGGAUAACUUCAGGAAACUGGGGCUAAUACCGGAUAGGAGCUCCUGCUGCAUGGUGGGGGUUGGAAAGUUUCGGCGGUUGGGGGUGGACUCGCGGCUUAUCAGCUUGUUGGUGGGGUAGUGGCUUACCAAGGCUUUGACGGGUAGCCGGCAUGAGAGGGUGACCGGCCACAGUGGGACUGAGAUACGGCGCAGACUCCUACGGGAGGCAGCAGUGGGGAAUAUUGCACAAUGGACGGAAGCCUGAUGCAGCAACGCCGCGUGCGGGAUGACGGCCUUCGGGUUGUAAACCGCUUUCGCCUGUGACGAAGCGUGAGUGACGGUAAUGGGUAAAGAAGCACCGGCUAACUACGUG